Molecule: long non-coding RNA, 968 nt
Filed under: Bos taurus (domestic cattle)
Lineage: Eukaryota; Metazoa; Chordata; Mammalia; Artiodactyla; Bovidae
Description: long non-coding RNA NONBTAT008015
Source: RNAcentral
AAAAACAAACUGCAGUUACUGUUUAAAAAAUAUUUCAUUUUAAAACUGAUAUUUUUCCUUGAGUUUUAAAAAUACUUAAAUAUGUUAUUAUUCUAUUUUAAAGUCUGGCAAAUUUUAACAGUCACUUUUAGAGAAGAGGCUACAUCUUAGGAGAGUUUAACUAAGCUAAACUGUAUUUACAGGUCUGACUUGACUUUGCUUUUAAAUCGUCAGUUGUCUUAACAAAUCCUUCCCAACUACUUAAGUAGUUCUUACAAAUUCACAUCAUCAGGUAACUCUUGAAUUUAUUUUAAAUAUUCAAAAAUGUAUACAAAUUUAGCAAAAUUCUCUUAAACCUUUCAACUUAAAAUCUGAAGUCUAAAUCUUUGUUCAGUCAUGCAGUUUUUCUUCAUUCACAAAGCUAAUCUGAUAGAUGCUUUAAUAUUCCAAAAUCUCUUAAAACACUACAAGAUCUUAAAAGGUCUAAUAUAUAGUUAAUUCUCAAAUUUAAUAUAAAACAUUAGGAGUAUGGGUUUGAGGUACUUUAUACUAAUAUCUAUUCUACAUACUAGCUUUUCUAAGAAAAUAGUUUUACCUCUGAAGCAUUUGCAGGUUUCUUUCUCAGUAAGUUGGACUUACUUGCCUAAACAAGUCUGUGUAACCAUCUCAGCAGUUGAGGUUGCACAUUAACCACAGAUAACAGUCUGGACAUGAGAUCUGAGGCAGCUCUCAAAGACUUUUUCAUGACCAUGCAAAAUAAGCUGACGUCUUCUAUAGUCACUAUUCCAGAAGGGAACAGUCUUGGAAGUCCAUUCCGGCUGCAUUCUAAGUAUUUCUAAUUGAGAACCUGUAACUACCCACCCAGGUUUUUGCCAUUAGUUUAUAAGAUUUAACUCAUAGGUUUACUGGGUUCUUUCAUCCCUGGGAAAACCACUUUGACAGAUACCUGAAUGACAUUCUUUGGAUUCUGCAUCUCUCUCAUGCUCUGC